CAGUAGCCGCGGUAAUACAGAGGGUGCGAGCGUUAAUCGGAUUUACUGGGCGUAAAGCGUGCGUAGGCGGCUUUUUAAGUCGGAUGUGAAAUCCCUGAGCUUAACUUAGGAAUUGCAUUCGAUACUGGGAAGCUAGAGUAUGGGAGAGGAUGGUAGAAUUCCAGGUGUAGCGGUGAAAUGCGUAGAGAUCUGGAGGAAUACCGAUGGCGAAGGCAGCCAUCUGGCCUAAUACUGACGCUGAGGUACGAAAGCAUGGGGAGCAAACUGGAUUAGAUACCCGCGUAGUCCCUGUCUCUUAUAC
RNAcentral lists this ribosomal RNA (301 nucleotides) under uncultured bacterium. RNAcentral's name for it is "partial 16S ribosomal RNA". It matches the Rfam family "Bacterial small subunit ribosomal RNA", at positions 509 to 807 of the family's 1533-position model. The record is from RNAcentral.